AAAAGCAUAAAAAAUCGGUCAGUUUUUUUUAAUUUCCAGCAAAGUAUAUAAACAAAGUAAAUUAGUUUACCUUACCACACAUACUUCGACGGAGACAAUUGAAGGAACUGUCUUUAGUUUGUAAGUGUCUGUUGAUUUUCAUAUUAUUCUUACAAGGCUUUAAAUAGAUCUGCAAUGCUUCAACAACUUAGCAAGAUUAUGAAAAAUGUCGUAUAUUGUUCUGAUAUUUUUGUUUACUAGCUUACACAACUUUGAAUAAUUUUAAUACUAAGGUUUUUUUUCUAUCUCAGGAGUAGAUUACAUCAGCUGUUUUUUGAAACACCUUAGGAUUUUUUUUAUAAAUAUUUAAAUACAUGAAAAUAAACUAUAUAAUUAUGUAUUUAAUGAUACGGUAGGUCACUGAUUCUCUGAAGAUAUAUACUGUUACAAAAAUAGAAGAGUGUGUACUAGAGAUAAUAUUGAGAUGUUUGGAUUGCUUAAGGACUGUUCUUAUUUAUCUCUGAAGAUUUAUGUUGUUACAAGAAAAGUUGUAUUGAGAUAUGGAUUGGUUGGACUCGUUUUUGUAUUUAAACAUACAUGGAUAUUUGGAAUAUUUUUGACUCCUAGUAAUCCUCACAUAUCUUUUUGUUAGUAAAUCCUCACAUAUCUUUUUGUCUAUCUUCUUACAUUAAAUAACUGGGCCUAAUUUUCAAUUAAUGUCGUAGGAUUAUUAAUAUAUUUUCUUUAUUGAUGUUUGACAAAAAUGUAGACAUUUUAUAUUUGAGAUCCAAAUUUAAUGGUUUAUCUCCCUAUACAUGGAACUAUUAAAGGAAAUUUCUACAUUCUACGGGCUUUUGUCAGAACUAUACUAGUAGGACAUUGGACGUUCAGUGAAAAAUAGUUCCAUUGUGUUUUUUUUUUCAGAUGUCACUACUAUAAAACAUUUGCUAUCAAAAUUAUCUUAGUACUAUGGAUUAGCAUUAUUUCAACUCAAUCGUUGGGUCAUAUUCAGCCAAUCAAGCACUAUUUUUUGCGCAUUGGUCGGGUUGGUUUAUCUUUGACAAAUUUCCCAUUUCAUUCCAAACUAUAUUACAGAAUUUGGAAUAACUCAGAAUUCAACAAAACUAUGGUAUAUCUUUAAUAUAAUAUUUGGAAAUGAUGUGUUAAAUAACAUUGUGUAUUGUAGUGUUUUAUACCAUGAAAAUGUACUUAAUUCGUUUUGUUUUAUUCAAAAACAAAUGAACGAAAAAUUUCUACAUAUCUUUUUUCUUAACCUUAGUUAAGGAUAUUGCACUUUUAAAAUAUACAAUUUUAUUACUUUAGAAAAGGAAAAAUGUGUAGUAUUAGAAAAAGAACAAUGUAUAGUAAAAGAAAAGGAACAAUGUGGAGUAUAAGAAAAAGAACAAUGUACGGUAUAAGAAAAGGAACAAUGUGCAGUAUUAGAAAAAGAACAUAUUACAUAAUUAUAACAUUCGCAUGAUGCAUUCAAUACAGGAAGUUUUGUAUUAAUAAAGUUCUAUCAGAAUUCGUUUUUUUAUAUAAUUUCCUACAGAAUAUAUUCGGAAAAAUCGUAUCCUACAUUAUUAUAUGUCAUCUAGGUGAGGAAAUCCUCUGCAAGAUGAAAAUAGGCAAGAUUCUGUGUGCGAUGUUCAUGAUGCUAAUGUCAGUUUUAGCAGGAGCAGCUAGUGGAGCCUACUAAUGGACGACUGGACAUCAACAGGUCUACCACCACUUCCAGGACUUGAAUUUCACAGAGAAAAACGAGAUGCUAAUGCCAACAAUCUAGAUAGAAUGGUAAGGUUUCCAGUAAUUACGUAAAGAACAAUUAUUCCUUAUAUUAAGUUUUAAAAUAACAACAACAACAACUACUACUACUACUAUAACUACUACAACUACUACUUUUAUUACAACAACAAAAACAACCACUAAUACAUCAACAACAACAACAUAAUAAUAAUAAUAAUAAUAACAAUAAUAAUAAUAAUAAUAAUAAUAAUAAUAAUAAUAAUAAUGAUAAUAAUAAUAAUAAUAAUAAUAAUAAUAGUUAAAAUAAUGAUAAUAAUAUUAUGAUAAUGAUAAUAAUAAUGAUAAAAUAAUAAUGAUAAUAAUAACAACACAAUCAAUAAUAAUCGUUUUUUUUUCAGUUAAAAAGAGGCUAGUUGGUCUGUGGCACAACAAACUGGAUCUUUCAUCAUUAAAUAAAAGAAGUUGAACUAAAUUUUAUUUAUCGUUGAUCUAUAUAUAUUGUUUUGUU
RNAcentral lists this long non-coding RNA (2233 nucleotides) under Mytilus galloprovincialis (Mediterranean mussel). The record is from RNAcentral. Lineage: Eukaryota; Metazoa; Mollusca; Bivalvia; Mytilida; Mytilidae.